Molecule: ribosomal RNA, 253 nt
Filed under: uncultured bacterium
Lineage: Bacteria
Description: partial 16S ribosomal RNA
Rfam family: Bacterial small subunit ribosomal RNA
Source: RNAcentral
UACGGAGGAUCCAAACGUUAUCCGGAUUUAUUGGGUUUAAAGGGUGCGUAGGUGGCUUUUUAAGUCAGGGGUGAAAGACGGUAGCUUAACUAUCGCAGUGCCUUUGAUACUGAAGAGCUUGAAUGAACUAGAGGUAGGCGGAAUGUGACAAGUAGCGGUGAAAUGCAUAGAUAUGUCACAGAACACCAAUUGCGAAGGCAGCUUACUAUGGUUUUAUUGACACUGAGGCACGAAAGCGUGGGGAUCAAACAGG